This 65-nucleotide transfer RNA is filed under the name Phaonia fuscata. RNAcentral's name for it is "tRNA-Tyr". It matches the Rfam family "tRNA". From Rfam's summary of the family: Transfer RNA (tRNA) molecules are approximately 80 nucleotides in length. Their secondary structure includes four short double-helical elements and three loops (D, anti-codon, and T loops). The record is from RNAcentral. Lineage: Eukaryota; Metazoa; Arthropoda; Insecta; Diptera; Muscidae.
GAUUAAAUGGCUGAAUUGUAGGCAAUAGACUGUAAAUCUAUUAAUGAAAUGUUUUUCUUUAAUUA